UACGGAGGGUGCAAGCGUUGUUCGGAAUCACUGGGCGUAAAGGGCGUGUAGGCGGUCCGCUAAGUCUGAUGUGAAAGCCCGGGGCUCACCCCCGGAAGGGCAUUGGAAACUGACGGACUCGAGUCCCGGAGAGGAAGGUGGAAUUCCUGGUGUAGCGGUGAAAUGCGUAGAUAUCAGGAGGAAUACCGGUGGCGAAGGCGGCCUUCUGGACGGUGACUGACGCUGAGACGCGAAAGCGUGGGGAGCAAACAGG
This 253-nucleotide ribosomal RNA is filed under the name uncultured bacterium. Its description in RNAcentral is "partial 16S ribosomal RNA". It matches the Rfam family "Bacterial small subunit ribosomal RNA", at positions 524 to 776 of the family's 1533-position model. The record is from RNAcentral.